GAUCCAGCCGGAUGACCAAAGUAGGACGGUUUACGGUCGAUCAGUCCACCCCCGGAACUGUUCGAAUUCGAAUUCGGACACUGCAUCUUUAUCCCUGGAACACAAGAAGAAGCGCCAAAUCUUUUUGUCCCUCGGACGUUCGUAUACGAGAAACAGACAAAAAAGAAUUACGGUAUCGGAGCGUAACGUCGAAAUACGAUGGCAGUAAAAGAGCACAGAAGCGGCUUCCUCGGCGAAUAUCGGAGCCGGCGUACCAACAACGAUGCCGUAGUAGAGAGAUCGCUCCAGAAAUACAUUCCAACAGCGACGGGGUAGAAGAAAAAGGAGAAAGAGGAAAACUGGGGCCAACCGAGACGUCUGCAGAUUGAUCUCGUUUACACUUUACUGACUGAACGCCAGGAGAUGGAAGGGAGGAGAAAGGGUUGCGUGGGUGGCACGUUUAUCCCUUGUCGAUUCCACGAUGUAUCGAGGUGGAAAGAAGGAAUAGAUUGUACUUAUAACGGGAGUGCAGGAAUGGGAACGAUCUGUUGAUCGGAACACGAUGGAUAUACAGGCUUUCCUAACAAUAUUGAUAUAAAAUGGGAAGGUGUCUGACAACCGCUGUGCGGUGAGCUGACGUUUCCAACAGGACUACUGUUCCCAGUCUGCUCCGGAAUUCCUUGCAUGGCGA
This is a long non-coding RNA of Osmia bicornis bicornis, 670 nucleotides long. RefSeq lists it as uncharacterized. Lineage: Eukaryota; Metazoa; Arthropoda; Insecta; Hymenoptera; Megachilidae. The transcript is spliced from 3 exons. The record is from RefSeq and is a predicted model, not a curated record.